GUGAGUCAUCGAAUCUUUGAACGCACAUUGCGCCCCCUGGCAUUCCGGGGGGCAUGCCUGUCCGAGCGUCAUUUCUGCCCUCAAGCGCGGCUUGUGUGUUGGGUGCGGUCCCUCCGGGGACCUGCCCGAAAGGCAGCGGCGACGUCCGUCUGGUCCUCGAGCGUAUGGGGCUUUGUCACUCGCUCGGGAAGGACCUGCGGGGGUUGGUCACCACCACAUUUUUACCACGGUUGACCUCGGAUCAGGUAGGAGUUACCCGCUGAACUUAAGCAUAUCAAUAAGCGGAGGA
This 289-nucleotide unclassified non-coding RNA is filed under the name Talaromyces sp. RNAcentral describes it as "partial contains 5.8S ribosomal RNA, internal transcribed spacer 2, and large subunit ribosomal RNA". The stretch from base 1 to 71 matches the Rfam family "5.8S ribosomal RNA", at positions 84 to 154 of the family's 154-position model. The record is from RNAcentral. Lineage: Eukaryota; Fungi; Ascomycota; Eurotiomycetes; Eurotiales; Trichocomaceae.